AGAAGGCCGAGCUAGAUGAGAAUGCUACUGCUGAAGCUGAUGGAGAAUUCUCUGAGAAACCCAAGAAAAAGAAAAAGAAAACUGGAGCAGAAACAGAAGCUAUAGAGCAAGAAACAGGAGUCGAAGAUGAAGGUACGAAGAAAGAAAAGAAAAAGAAGAGAAAGCAGGCUGAGGGAGAUGUUCUGAUGGCUGAUGUUGAGGAACAACCAGCCGAGACUUCAGCCAAGAAGGUAAAG
Molecule: unclassified non-coding RNA, 236 nt
Filed under: Hevea brasiliensis (rubber tree)
Lineage: Eukaryota; Viridiplantae; Streptophyta; Magnoliopsida; Malpighiales; Euphorbiaceae
Source: RNAcentral